AACGAACGCUGGCGGCGUGGAUAAGACAUGCAAGUCGAACGAUCACUAGUGGGUAGCAAUAUUCGCUAGUGGGAGUGGCGCAAGGGUGCGUAACACGUGGGUAAUUUGCCGUAAAGUCUGGGAUAACUUGCUGAAAGGCGAGCUAAUACCGGAUGUGAUUGCUGGAGGGCAUCCUUUGGCACUUAAAGUUGGGGACCGUAAGGCCUGACACUUUUCGAUAAGCCCGCGGCCUAUCAGCUAGUUGGUGAGGUAACGGCUCACCAAGGCUAAGACGGGUAGCUGGUCUGAGAGGACGACCAGCCUCACUGGAACUGAGACACGGUCCAGACACCUACGGGUGGCAGCAGUCGAGAAUUUUUCUCAAUGGGGGAAACCCUGAAGGAGCGACGCCGCGUGGGGGAUGAAUGGCUUCGGCCCGUAAACCCCUGUCAUUUGCGAUCAAACCUUACGUUUUAAUAAAGCGUAAGCUGAUAGUAGCGAAAGAGGAAGGGACGGCUAACUCUGUGCCAGCAGCCGCGGUAAUACAGAGGUCCCAAGCGUUGUUCGGAUUCACUGGGCGUAAAGGGUGCGUAGGCGGUCGGGUAAGUCUGACGUGAAAUCUUCGAGCCUAACUCGGAAACUGCGUCGGAUACUAUUCGGCUAGAGGAAUGGAGGGGAGACUGGAAUACUUGGUGUAGCAGUGAAAUGCGUAGAUAUCAAGUGGAACACCAGUGGCGAAGGCGAGUCUCUGGACAUUUCCUGACGCUGAGGCACGAAAGCCAGGGGAGCAAACGGGAUUAGAUACCCCGGUAGUCCUGGCCCUAAACGGUGCACGUUUGCUGUAAGAGGAAUCGACCCCUUUUGUGGCGAAGCUAACGCGUUAAACGUGCCGCCUGGGAGGUACGGCCGCAAGGUUU
Molecule: ribosomal RNA, 896 nt
Filed under: uncultured bacterium
Lineage: Bacteria
Description: bacterial SSU rRNA
Rfam family: Bacterial small subunit ribosomal RNA
Source: RNAcentral